RNAcentral lists this long non-coding RNA (975 nucleotides) under Marmota monax (woodchuck). Lineage: Eukaryota; Metazoa; Chordata; Mammalia; Rodentia; Sciuridae. The record is from RNAcentral.
CUGAAAUCCUGGUUUGUGGGCCACAGUUUGAAUAACACUUAGCUAGAUAUUUGAAGUUAUAAGUUGAGGCUAUAGAAAUGGAUAAGAUCUUUGAGGAUUAGUGUGUGUGUGUGUACAUUUGUGUGUAUGGACCUGGAAAUGGAACAGCCUAGGAAAUAAAAGUUAUCAGUAUCAACUGCUCAAAACUAAGCUAGUUUUGAGGAGAGGGUGGUUUAUUGGGUCCAUCGUGAGUGUUGAGAAAAAUUGGAAAUCCAGAGGGCAUUUGGGGUGAUCUGCUGGAACUUUUGCCUUCUGUCUUGGACUGGAUUUUCUUCUUUAUCUUAGAAGAUAUCUCCUGACAUGGUGUUAAGCUCUUUUCUUUUGCUUGACUACAUACUCUGUUUAGGUAAUUUCAUCCAGUUCUUUGGAAUUAAAUAUCAUCUGUGUGUGUUCAGUCUCUAGUCAUUUCAUGUCUGAACUCCAGAAUCAUAAAUUCAGCUGCCUACUUAUCAUUUCUACUUAGAUGUCUGAUAGGUAUUUCAAACAGGGGAACAAUUAGGAAGUCACUGCAGUAACCCAAACCAUAGUUAAUGAUAGCUUGCACUAGAUAGAAUAUCAUUGGAGCUGGAGUGAAGUAGAUGAGAGAGUUUGGAAAUACAGUAGAAGCAAACAAAAACAAAAACAAACAAAAAAAAUCUUUAUGAUGGAUUAGGAAAAGGGAAGAAAUAGAUGACAACUGGAUCUCCAGUUUUUGACUUUAGCACUAUGACAAUGGUUGUGUCAUGUUCUGAGAGGAAGGACCAGGUUCUAAGAGAAGAAAGGGGAAAGGCAGAUCAAGAGUUUUCUUAUCCCUGUCUCAGUAGAUGACACCUUCACCACAGCUUUUGAACACAGACAUUUCUGACAAUCAAGCCACUUUCUGUUGCAUUUCUGAAAUUAAAUUUCUGUUGCCUGGAUAACUGUAAUGGCCUUUUAACUGGUUUCUUUGCUUCUGCU